This is a non-coding RNA of Salvelinus sp. IW2-2015, 1005 nucleotides long. Lineage: Eukaryota; Metazoa; Chordata; Actinopteri; Salmoniformes; Salmonidae. The record is from RefSeq and is a predicted model, not a curated record.
AGUGACGUAUUGGAGGAGUGGACAGUAUUGGAGGAGUGGACAGUAUUGGAGGAGUGGACAGUAUUGGAGGAGUGGACAGUAUUGGAGGAGUGGACAGUAUUGGAGGAGAGGACAGUAUCAUCCGGGUUACACUGACUUACAUUAUUUUGUUAUGUGCAAAUGGAAAUGGAAGUUGAAACGAAGAUAUAUGUGAUGUUCAAACCCUCUGUGUUCCUGACCGUUGCCAAAACCAUCCCUCAACCAAUAGCAUACAAAAGACAGAGCACUACAGAGAACAUGUACUGUUUUAUUAAUAGGGGAAUAUGUUGCCUUUUGGGAUGAGUACUGGUUGAGUUGAACGUCAGCAUUCUCCCUCUAGCACAGACUUAUUGAUAGGUAUUCAAUAUUUACAGACUGUGGAAAUGGUGCUACAUGUAAAUAGGUCCCUCUCUCCAGAGUUAGCCUUCAGUUAGUACUGUACUGUUGAUGCCCUUAUUAAAAGAGAACGCUAAGCCAUGUUGUAUUGGAUGCUGUGUUUGCUUCAUCAGGAGAACACGUCGCAUCUCAACCAACCAAGGCUCAGAUUAGCCUGGUCCCAGAUCUGUUUGUGCUCUUACCAACUCCAUUGCUGUCAUUGUCAAGCCACAGAUGUUUGGCAUGACAAUGAGUGACAUGGAGUUGACAUGGUACCAGGAACAGACGGGCACCCAAGUCUAGCUCAAGAGUGUACUUUAACUUAACCUCACGUUAUGCCGCUUCACAGAAAAAUAAAUAAUAAGAAAGACUGUAAGUAUUAACAAAUUAAUAUGUUAACAUACAAUAGCUGGUUGUUGAUUCUUGAAUUGGUCUACAUUGUGAUGUGUAAAAUAUCCUGUCUAUUUAACAUUUGUUGAUUGUAUAUAAUAAGGUUUAUGAUACGGAACAUGGUGGUAACUGACAAUAUUUUAACAUGUGCAUAUUUUGUAGAUUUGAUAUGUAAAUACUGUACUGGAAUACAUUAAACUGUUUUUAUAAUAUAGAAACGUA